RNAcentral lists this ribosomal RNA (259 nucleotides) under uncultured bacterium. RNAcentral describes it as "partial 16S ribosomal RNA". It matches the Rfam family "Bacterial small subunit ribosomal RNA", at positions 524 to 776 of the family's 1533-position model. The record is from RNAcentral.
UACGUAGGGGGGCAAGCGUUGUCCGGAAUCAUUGGGCGUAAAGAGCGUGUAGGCGGCUCGGUAAGUCCGCUCUGAAAAGCCCGGGGGCUCAACCCCCGGGGAGGCGGGCGGAUACUGUCGGGCUAGAGUCCGGAAGAGGCGAGUGGAAUUCCUGGUGUAGCGGUGAAAUGCGCAGAUAUCAGGAGGAACGCCAAUGGCGAAGGCAGCUCGCUGGGACGGUACUGACGCUGAGACGCGAAAGCGUGGGGGAGCAAACAGG